This 517-nucleotide ribosomal RNA is filed under the name Pareas hamptoni (Hampton's slug snake). Its description in RNAcentral is "partial 16S ribosomal RNA". It matches the Rfam family "Bacterial large subunit ribosomal RNA", at positions 1812 to 2605 of the family's 2925-position model. The record is from RNAcentral. Lineage: Eukaryota; Metazoa; Chordata; Lepidosauria; Squamata; Pareidae.
AACAUAACCUUUAGCCAAACAAAUAUUAAAGGCAACGCCUGCCCGGUGAACUAUUAAACGGCCGCGGUACCCUAACCGUGCAAAGGUAGCGUAAUCAUUUGUCUAUUAAUUGUAGACCUGUAUGAAAGGCAAAAUGAAAGCCUGACUGUCUCUUAUAGUCAAUCAAUUAAACUGAUCUCCUAGUACAAAAGCUAGAAUACCAACAUAAGACCAGAAGACCCUGUGAAGCUUCAACUAACCCAUUAAACCCUAUAAUGAUUACUUUUGGUUGGGGCGACCUUGGAAAAAAAGAAAACUUCCAAAUAACACGACCUCACUCGCACCCUUGGCCCACAGGCCCCAUAGACCCAGUAUACCUGAUAAAUGAACCAAGUUACUCCAGGGAUAACAGCGCUAUCUUCUUCAAGAGCCCAUAUCAAAAAGAAGGUUUACGACCUCGAUGUUGGAUCAGGACAUCCUGGCGGUGUAGCCGCUGCCAAGGGUUCGUUUGUUCAACGACUAAUAGUCCUACGUGAUC